UAGGGAAUCUUCGGCAAUGGGGGCAACCCUGACCGAGCAACGCCGCGUGAGUGAAGAAGGUUUUCGGAUCGUAAAUCUCUGUUGUAAGAGAAGAACGUGUGUGAGAGUGGAAAGUUCACACAGUGACGGUAACUUACCAGAAAGGGACGGCUAACUACGUGCCAGCAGCCGCGGUAAUACUUAGGUCCCGAGCGUUGUCCGGAUUUAUUGGGCGUAAAGCGAGCGCAGGCGGGUUAAUAAGACUGAAGUUAAAGGCAGUGGCUUAACCAUUGUUCGCUUUGGAAACUGUUAUACUUGAGUGCAGAAGGGGAGAGUGGAAUUCCAUGUGUAGCGGUGAAAUGCGUAGAUAUAUGGAGGAACACCGGUGGCGAAAGCGGCUCUCUGGUCUGUAACUGACGCUGAGGCGCGAAAGCGUGGGGAGCAAACAGG
RNAcentral lists this ribosomal RNA (429 nucleotides) under bacterium. RNAcentral's name for it is "partial 16S ribosomal RNA". It matches the Rfam family "Bacterial small subunit ribosomal RNA", at positions 355 to 776 of the family's 1533-position model. The record is from RNAcentral.